Molecule: non-coding RNA, 30 nt
Filed under: Homo sapiens (human)
Lineage: Eukaryota; Metazoa; Chordata; Mammalia; Primates; Hominidae
Source: RNAcentral
UAGGAGCACAGCACUGACGGCUGCAGUGGC